GCAGUCGCGUCUACCAUGCAGUCGACGCUGAAGCCGACAGCUUGCUGUUGGUGGAUGAGUGGCGAACGGGUGAGUAACACGUGAGUAACCUGCCCCUGAUUUCGGGAUAAGCCUGGGAAACUGGGUCUAAUACCGGAUACGACCUCCUGACGCAUGUUGGGUGGUGGAAAGUUUUUCGAUCGGGGAUGGGCUCGCGGCCUAUCAGCUUGUUGGUGGGGUAAUGGCCUACCAAGGCGACGACGGGUAGCCGGCCUGAGAGGGCGACCGGCCACACUGGGACUGAGACACGGCCCAGACUCCUACGGGAGGCAGCAGUGGGGAAUAUUGCACAAUGGGGGAAACCCUGAUGCAGCGACGCAGCGUGCGGGAUGACGGCCUUCGGGUUGUAAACCGCUUUCAGCAGGGAAGAAGCGAAAGUGACGGUACCUGCAGAAGAAGUACCGGCUAACUACGUGCCAGCAGCCGCGGUAAUACGUAGGGUACGAGCGUUGUCCGGAAUUAUUGGGCGUAAAGAGCUCGUAGGUGGUUGGUCACGUCUGCUGUGGAAACGCAACGCUUAACGUUGCGCGUGCAGUGGGUACGGGCUGACUAGAGUGCAGUAGGGGAGUCUGGAAUUCCUGGUGUAGCGGUGAAAUGCGCAGAUAUCAGGAGGAACACCGGUGGCGAAGGCGGGACUCUGGGCUGUAACUGACACUGAGGAGCGAAAGCAUGGGGAGCGAACAGGAUUAGAUACCCUGGUAGUCCAUGCCGUAAACGUUGGGCACUAGGUGUGGGGGACAUUCCACGUUCUCCGCGCCGUAGCUAACGCAUUAAGUGCCCCGCCUGGGGGAGUACGGUCGCAAGGCUAAAACUCAAAGGAAUUGACGGGGGCCCGCACAAGCGGCGGAGCAUGCGGAUUAAUUCGAUGCAACGCGAAGAACCUUACCAAGGCUUGACAUACACUGGACCGUUCUGGAAACAGUUCUUCUCUUUGGAGCUGGUGUACAGGUGGUGCAUGGUUGUCGUCAGCUCGUGUCGUGAGAUGUUGGGUUAAGUCCCGCAACGAGCGCAACCCUCGUUCUAUGUUGCCAGCACGUGAUGGUGGGAACUCAUAGGAGACUGCCGGGGUCAACUCGGAGGAAAA
RNAcentral lists this ribosomal RNA (1123 nucleotides) under Brevibacterium epidermidis. RNAcentral describes it as "bacterial SSU rRNA". It matches the Rfam family "Bacterial small subunit ribosomal RNA", at positions 39 to 1173 of the family's 1533-position model. Lineage: Bacteria; Bacillati; Actinomycetota; Actinomycetes; Micrococcales; Brevibacteriaceae. The record is from RNAcentral.